This 505-nucleotide ribosomal RNA is filed under the name Pseudoalteromonas piscicida. RNAcentral's name for it is "bacterial SSU rRNA". It matches the Rfam family "Bacterial small subunit ribosomal RNA", at positions 903 to 1387 of the family's 1533-position model. Lineage: Bacteria; Pseudomonadati; Pseudomonadota; Gammaproteobacteria; Alteromonadales; Pseudoalteromonadaceae. The record is from RNAcentral.
CUCUAAAAAAAAUUGGCGGGGGCGCGCACAAGCGGUGGAGCAUGUGGUUUACUUUGAUGCAACGCGAAGAACCUUACCUACACUUGACAUACAGAGAACUUACCAGAGAUGGUUUGGUGCCUUCGGGAGUUCUGAUACAGGGGCUGCAUGGCUGUCGUCCGCUCGUGUUGGGAGAUGUUGGGUUAAGUCCCGCAACGAGCGCAACCCCUAUCUUUAGUUCCCAGCGAUUCGGUCGGGAACUUUAAGGAGACUGCCGGUGAUAAACCGGAGGAAGGGGGGGAGGACGUCAAGUCAUCAUGGCCCUUACGUGUAGGGCUACACACGUGCUACAAUGGCAGGUACAGAGAGCAGCGAGCUAGCGAUAGUGAGCGAAUCCCUUAAAGCCUGUCGUAGUCCGGAUUGGAGUCUGCAACUCGACUCCCAUGAAGUCGGAAUCGCUAGUAAUCGCAAAUCAGAAUGUUGCGGUGAAUACGUUCCCGGCUCUUGCACAACCCGCCCAGAAAAG